This 67-nucleotide small RNA is filed under the name Psychrobacillus sp. OK032. Its description in RNAcentral is "Bacillaceae-1 RNA". It matches the Rfam family "Bacillaceae-1 RNA". The record is from RNAcentral. Lineage: Bacteria; Bacillati; Bacillota; Bacilli; Caryophanales; Bacillaceae.
ACCAGAGGAACGAAGGCUAAGAGUGCCACAUCGUGUGGCAACGCCUUCGUGACCAACAUCCUGUCGG